RNAcentral lists this small nuclear RNA (104 nucleotides) under Procavia capensis (Cape rock hyrax). Lineage: Eukaryota; Metazoa; Chordata; Mammalia; Hyracoidea; Procaviidae. The record is from RNAcentral.
GUGCUCGCUUUGGCAGCAUAUAUGAUAAAAUUGGAAUGAUGCAGAGAUUAGCAUGACCCCUGCACGAGGAUGACACGCAAAUUAGUGAAGCGUUCCAUGUUUUU